AAUAGAUACCCAGGUAGUCCAUGCCGUAAACGUUGGGCACUAGGUGUGGGGCUCAUUCCACGAGUUCCGUGCCGCAGCAAACGCAUUAAGUGCCCCGCCUGGGGAGUACGGCCGCAAGGCUAAAACUCAAAGGAAUUGACGGGGGCCCGCACAAGCGGCGGAGCAUGCGGAUUAAUUCGAUGCAACGCGAAGAACCUUACCAAGGCUUGACAUGCACGGGAAGCCACCAGAGAUGGUGGUCUCUUUGGACACUCGUGCACAGGUGGUGCAUGGUUGUCGUCAGCUCGUGUCGUGAGAUGUUGGGUUAAGUCCCGCAACGAGCGCAACCCUCGUCCCAUGUUGCCAGCGGGUUAUGCCGGGGACUCAUGGGAGACUGCCGGGGUCAACUCGGAGGAAGGUGGGGAUGACGUCAAAUCAUCAUGCCCCUUAUGUCUUGGGCUUCACGCAUGCUACAAUGGCCGGUACAAGGGCUGCGAUGCCGUAAGGUGAGCGAAUCCCAAAAGCCGGUCUCAGUUCGGAGUU
This 522-nucleotide ribosomal RNA is filed under the name uncultured bacterium. RNAcentral describes it as "bacterial SSU rRNA". It matches the Rfam family "Bacterial small subunit ribosomal RNA", at positions 777 to 1300 of the family's 1533-position model. The record is from RNAcentral.